AUGCUCAAAAUCGACUUAGCCAAAGCUUUUGAUAGAAUUGAGUGGCAUUUCAUUACUUCGGCUCUUGCUCAUAAGGGUCUUCAUCACCAUUUCACAAACCUUGUACAUGCAUGUAUCUCUUCGCCGAGUUUCUCGAUUAUCAUUAAUGGCCAAUCUUUUGCUCGCUUUAAAAGUAGUAAAGGCAUUAGGCAGGGAUGCCCCUUAUCCCCAACUCUUUUUGUCUUUGCAAUAAAUUAACUCUCUACGUCGCUUCAGGAUGCUCUACAGUCCAAUCACUUGUCAGGUAUUUCUCUUGGUCCAAAUUGCCCUCCAAUUCAUUCUUUGAUGUUUGCGGAUGAUCUGCUUGUUGUGGCAAACCUAACACGCAGGAAGUAG
Molecule: ribosomal RNA, 375 nt
Filed under: Triticum aestivum (bread wheat)
Lineage: Eukaryota; Viridiplantae; Streptophyta; Magnoliopsida; Poales; Poaceae
Description: partial small subunit ribosomal RNA
Source: RNAcentral